This 293-nucleotide ribosomal RNA is filed under the name Pseudomonas aeruginosa. Its description in RNAcentral is "partial 16S ribosomal RNA". It matches the Rfam family "Bacterial small subunit ribosomal RNA", at positions 34 to 331 of the family's 1533-position model. The record is from RNAcentral. Lineage: Bacteria; Pseudomonadati; Pseudomonadota; Gammaproteobacteria; Pseudomonadales; Pseudomonadaceae.
CGGUAGGGCCACGCUAUAAAAAAUGCAAGUCGAGCGGAUGAAGGGAGCUUGCUCCUGGAUUCAGCGGCGGACGGGUGACUCUUGCCUAGGAAUCUGCCUGGUAGUGGGGGAUACGUCCGGAAACGGGCGCUAAUACCGCAUACGUCCUGAGGGAGAAAGUGGGGGAUCUUCGGACCUCACGCUAUCAGAUGAGCCUAGGUCGGAUUACCUAGUUGGUGGGGUAAAGGCCUACCAAGGCGACGACCCGUAACUGGUCUGAGAGGAUGAUCGGUCCACUGGAACUGAGACCGGUC